GUGGGAGUAGCUCAACUGGCAGAGCAUCGGACUGUGGCUCCGACGGUUGCGGGUUCGAUUCCCGUCUCCCACCCCA
RNAcentral lists this transfer RNA (76 nucleotides) under Terriglobia bacterium. Its description in RNAcentral is "tRNA-His". It matches the Rfam family "tRNA". Rfam says of the family: Transfer RNA (tRNA) molecules are approximately 80 nucleotides in length. Their secondary structure includes four short double-helical elements and three loops (D, anti-codon, and T loops). Lineage: Bacteria; Pseudomonadati; Acidobacteriota; Terriglobia. RNAcentral also lists the same sequence under 2 other names. The record is from RNAcentral.